This 22-nucleotide non-coding RNA is filed under the name Arabidopsis thaliana (thale cress). The record is from RNAcentral. Lineage: Eukaryota; Viridiplantae; Streptophyta; Magnoliopsida; Brassicales; Brassicaceae.
UCAAGGCUUUUACGUACGAGUG